AUGGUCCGUUGGUCAAGGGGUUAAGACACCGCCUUUUCACGGCGGUAACACGGGUUCGAAUCCCGGGAUCUUU
This 73-nucleotide transfer RNA is filed under the name Streptococcus gordonii. RNAcentral's name for it is "tRNA-Glu". It matches the Rfam family "tRNA". From Rfam's summary of the family: Transfer RNA (tRNA) molecules are approximately 80 nucleotides in length. Their secondary structure includes four short double-helical elements and three loops (D, anti-codon, and T loops). Lineage: Bacteria; Bacillati; Bacillota; Bacilli; Lactobacillales; Streptococcaceae. The record is from RNAcentral.